RNAcentral lists this ribosomal RNA (254 nucleotides) under uncultured bacterium. Its description in RNAcentral is "partial 16S ribosomal RNA". It matches the Rfam family "Bacterial small subunit ribosomal RNA", at positions 524 to 776 of the family's 1533-position model. The record is from RNAcentral.
UACGUAGGCAGCGAGCGUUGUUCGGAGUUACUGGGCGUAAAGGGUGUGUAGGCGGUUCUUUAAGUUUGGGGUGAAAUCUCCCGGCUCAACCGGGAGGGUGCGCCGAAUACUGAGGGACUUGGAGUGCGGGAGAGGCGAGUGGAAUUCCUGGUGUAGCGGUGAAAUGCGCAGAUAUCAGGAGGAACACCGAUUGCGAAGGCAGCUCGCUGGAACGUAACUGACGCUGAGACGCGAAAGCGUGGGGAGCAAACAGG